Canis lupus familiaris (dog) is the source of this 2344-nucleotide RNA transcript. It is a transcript of the gene named MYST/Esa1 associated factor 6, with no coding region annotated. The record is from RefSeq and is a predicted model, not a curated record. Lineage: Eukaryota; Metazoa; Chordata; Mammalia; Carnivora; Canidae. The transcript is spliced from 9 exons.
CUGGCGGCGAGGGCGCGCAGGGCCCGCCCCCAGCCCGCCGCCGCCGCCGCCUCAGCCCAACAUGGCGAUGCACAACAAGGCGGCGCCGCCGCAGAUCCCGGACACCCGGCGGGAGCUGGCGGAGCUGGUGAAGCGGAAGCAGGAGCUGGCGGAAACACUGGCGAACUUGGAGAGACAGAUCUAUGCUUUUGAAGGAAGCUACCUGGAAGACACUCAGAUGUACGGCAAUAUCAUCCGCGGCUGGGAUCGGUACCUGACCAACCAAAAAAACUCCAAUAGCAAAAACGACCGAAGGAACCGGAAGUUUAAGGAAGCUGAGCGACUCUUCAGUAAAUCCUCAGUUACUUCGGCAGCUGCAGUAAGUGCAUUGGCAGGAGUUCAGGAUCAGCUCAUUGAAAAGAGGGAGCCGGGCAGUGGGACGGAAAGUGAUACUUCUCCAGACUUCCACAAUCAGGAGAAUGAGCCCAGCCAGGAGGACCCUGAGGAUCUGGACGGAUCUGUGCAGGGCGUGAAGCCUCAGAAGGCUGCUUCUUCUACUUCCUCAGGGAGUCAUCACAGCAGCCAUAAAAAACGAAAGAAUAAAAACCGGCACAGUGCGUAAUGAGAUAGGAAUGACAUCAGUGGACAGAGAGGUCAGGUGUCACCCAGAGAGGAUUUUAGCAUUCACUCUGCCUGGGGUAUGUAUAUUAGGUUAGGCUGGGAAGUUUUUUUUAAAAACAGAAAAACGUGAUGGAGGAUUGAUCUGAAGUUAAACAAAAAACCACGAGCUGACUAUUAGAAGACUCAUUAGUGCAGAAGCUUCCAGGCUGUAGAGCCCUGCUUCCCUCCUCCAACCUCACAAAGAUAAAUAUCCCUCACCUGAGUGCGCGGCCAUCCACCUCUGCUUUCCCAGACCCAGUGCCUGUGACUCUGAAUAGUUUGUUCUGAAACGUGGUGACAAGUCAUUUCUGUAAGACCACACUGGAUCAUUUACUGUGUGUCCUGUUUAGUAACAGAACUGCAAGAAGACCAAGACAUGGUUAUAAUUCCAGCAAGUUGCUAACUCUGCAUUUCUCCCUUCUUGGAAUGAAUGUGUAUCCCCUACCCCCCCAUCCCCAACCCCCGCCCCCAAAACUGGCUGGCACCAGCUUCAUCUGUGAUACCCAUUGAGAAAUGUUCUCUGGUUUUGUUUAUGCUGAAGGUAGAACAUAGGUCACGUUUCAGAGGGAGGCUGUAAAUAUCUGGCAUUUUCUUAUUUUGUUUGUGUUUUAUUAUUUUUCUAUUGUUUUUACCAUCUUCUUUUCUUUGGGGACUUUUUGUAAUGCCGUUGUACAGCUCAUACCUUCCUGCCAACAUAUCUGAUAAUCUGCUUCAUGCAGUUGCCAACAUUCUUAACUGAAAAUAAUCUGGUUUAUCAUAGAGAAAAUGGGGAACUUGGCUCUGUGUUUUUGCAGGGGGAAGGUAGAGAGGGUUUAUUUAAUAAUUACCUAUCUUAAAUCUUUCUGCGUUGGAAGCAGUUUCGUGUUCAAGGAACAGGAAAAGCUGAAAAAAAACCCUAAGUUUAAAUCAAUCCUUUUAAAAUAGAUAUUUUUAUUCUUUUAUAUAAAUAAAAUUUCACAGGUGUUGACUUCUCAUGCUUUACUUUUAAACCUGAGAUUGUUUUUUCACUUAUUUUAUUUAUUCGUAUCAUGCCUUAUGGAAAUUUCUCCCUUUUUCCAUUUUUCUCUCUUUGCUGGUAUCUGCCUGACUAAACAUUGCUCUAAAAAUCACUAAGGCAUAUGGAAGGGCUCAACUUUGCACCCAAAGCUGGUAAUGCCUGGACUUCUUGAGCAGAGUGAGAGAUAGGAUCCGCGAGAGCCAGCAAUGCCCAGCAAGACCCCCCCCCUUCCUCCCAGAGCCAGCCGGGCUGGGGAACUUGCAGAUUUGUUGAACUCCUGCCUCUUGAGUGGGGCUCUAUCUCGGCCGCUCAUGACUCACCUGGGAAGCUUACAGACCUACUGAUGCCUAGGUCCCCACCCCCAGAGACUCUGACUGGGGUACAGUCUAGUUCCUGGGAUUUCCUGCCACAGAGGCCCUGGGGUUCUGAUAAGAAGCCAGGUUGAGAACCACUGCAUGAGGAGUGUCUGAUUGAAAUCCUAUGUUGCGAAUCAGUCUAGGGGAUGAGAUUUGGGGCCCUGCCUUUCUUUCGAUGCUGUCCAGUCCUAGUCCUCGACUUAGGCCCAUAUCUUUGUUAGAACAAGUAUGUUCCAUUGUGAUAAUAUUGGUAGAGCUGAAUACGGAUGGCGUCUGUUAGCAAAACGCGUCUACCUUGUCAGAUGUGCAAAAGCUUUCACUCUUGUUCUCAAAUAAACUUUUUUUUUUUUGA